AUUGAACGCUGGCGGCAGGCCUAACACAUGCAAGUCGAGCGGAUGAAGGGAGCUUGCUCCUGGAUUCAGCGGCGGACGGGUGAGUAAUGCCUAGGAAUCUGCCUGGUAGUGGGGGAUAACGUCCGGAAACGGGCGCUAAUACCGCAUACGUCCUGAGGGAGAAAGUGGGGGAUCUUCGGACCUCACGCUAUCAGAUGAGCCUAGGUCGGAUUAGCUAGUUGGUGGGGUAAAGGCCUACCAAGGCGACGAUCCGUAACUGGUCUGAGAGGAUGAUCCGGCACACUGGAACUGAGACACGGUCCAGACUCCGACGGGAGGCAGCAGUGGGGAAUAUUGGACAAUGGGCGAAAGCCUGAUCCAGCCAUGCCGCGUGUGUGAAGAAGGUCUUCUGAUUGUAAAGCACUUUAAGUUGGGAGGAAGGGCAGUAAGUUAAUACCUUGCUGUUUUGACGUUACCAACAGAAUAAGCACCGGCUAACUUCGUG
Molecule: ribosomal RNA, 484 nt
Filed under: uncultured bacterium
Lineage: Bacteria
Description: partial 16S ribosomal RNA
Rfam family: Bacterial small subunit ribosomal RNA
Source: RNAcentral